Molecule: ribosomal RNA, 288 nt
Filed under: uncultured bacterium
Lineage: Bacteria
Description: partial 16S ribosomal RNA
Rfam family: Bacterial small subunit ribosomal RNA
Source: RNAcentral
AUUUUCCUACGGGACGCAGUAGUGAGGAAUAUUGGUCAAUGGGCGGGAGCCUGAACCAGCCAAGCCGCGUGAGGGAAGAAGGUACAGCGUAUCGUAAACCUCUUUUGUCAGGGAACAAAGGCGGGGACUAGUCCCCGGAUGAGGGUACCUGAAGAAAAAGCAUCGGCUAACUCCGUGCCAGCAGCCGCGGUAAUACGGAGGAUGCGAGCGUUAUCCGGAUUUAUUGGGUUUAAAGGGUGCGCAGGCGGCAUGUUACGUCAGCGGUAAAAGACCGGGGCUCAACCCCGG